AACAGCAUUAAAAUAUUAGCUAGCUGCAUUAUGUGGAUCUGAGUUAACAUGUUGAUCCCUUUUUAAGGGAGAAAGUGAAAGAUCAUGUGACAAGAUGUAUCCAGAAAGACUACAGUCAUAGAGCUGUCGGGAGCAUUUGAAGCUGACCUAGGUUAACAGGCUGAUCUACGGAAAAGAUUCUGUGGCAAAGGUUACAGACUUGCGUCACAGACCAGUGAUGUUCUGAUGGGAUCAGUGAGUUCCAAAAACUUGGCAGAAAGGCUGCUCCCGGGACAAGUAAAUAUUGGCUCGCUGAGCAGGGUGGCCAGCAUCUGUUUGUGGUUUUGAGGAAAAUACAGAAGCGCCAUGAUGAAGGAUCCAGUAUCGGUAGCUAGCUUCAAAGCCAACAUCAUUGGGGUGAGAGGCCUAAACCAGGGCCAUCACAGGAAUCAGAGCAAUGUUAAUGAACCAAGUACCUGACCGCAAGGAGAAACCGACCCAAUUUGCUCAAUUUGUCCAAAGAACAAUACAGAUGGAAAAGCAGCAAAAUUCAGUGCGUGACCUGAAUACGAAUGUCUUUUGUUAUAAGACUGAAAUAAGUGGCCAGCUGUCUGACAAAAGUGGUACACAGCCCACGAAUGAUAAGUAAUUGAGAAGCUGACUCAUGCUUUUGCAAUGUAUUCUUUCUGGUGUUGCCGACAUGAUCUGGACAAACAAUAUGAACUAAUCCAAGAUUUCCGGGUUGCACAUGAAGUGAGUGAUGAUUUUCUACUGAGAUGGCCAGAACUAGACCGAACCACAAUCCAAGUUACGGGUAAAACCGAAUAUGUCAAGGGCCAAAUGGUGAGCCCUUUCUUUAACUGUGGAAAUUUGGCCACUGGGGAGUGAUGUGUCCUUAUCAUUACCUUGGAAUGAAUGCAGGGAUCGACAUGCUUGCAUCCUGACAAAAGGAAAAUCUGCAAAUAUAUACACUGACUCUCAUGCAUUUACAGAUUACAGAGCCUUGUGGGAACAUAGAGGAUUUAACCUUCAUGGUAAAACCUAUUCAUAAUGCUGUUUUGUCCAACCAGUCUGGCAAUUAUCAAAAUGUUCAACUCUCACUGAGGCAACUGAUACAGUCUCCAAAGAAAAUGAGCGAGUAGAUGCUGCUGCCAAGCUGACAGCCUUAGACCCCAAACUUCUGGUCCCAUUUGGUUCCCAGCAAAACCUGAUUAGAGACAGUAUAGAGACAGGUAUGCCAGACCUGGGUAAGGUAUAGAAAUCACAAGGGAAGCCCCUUGUGAAGGUUACAAACUAUGGACCCAAAUGGGGUGCUCCCUCAGUACUUAAACCAAAAUGUGGGUGACCCCUGCUGGACAAGUUUAUUAAAGUUCUUUGCUGCUGCCAAUUUUAGUUGAUUAUGUGCAUUAUUGUACACUCUUAGGCAAGGAGGGAACAGUUAAUACUCUAUCACAAAUUUGGUGCAAAGGCCCAUUUCUAUUCCUGCUUGUGACCUGCACAGCAUUCAAGGUCAAGGGGAGGCCCAAAUGGAUAGCCUGGUAACCUCUAGUAAAUUGGAAUUACACUUUAAAACUUUUCUUUUUGCACAGAAGGUCAAUCACUUCAGCUGCUGGGUAUGUACCCAUAUCCCCAUCCAUCCAGAACUUGCACCAAGUGAGCCCUUAUAGAAUUUGAGCAACUUGCAGCUUUCUUUUCCCCUGCCUUUGGAACUGCUAGACUGGAAAUUGAAGUAACCCUGCAGACAAUCCUGUGCUUGGUUCAGUUCUCUGCUGUGGCCUUCCUCUCCAGCGAUCUCACCAAUGCCUAGGUUUCCAAUUCCUGACAAAACCCCAAUGAUGAUUCCCAAUUCCUGGAGCCUUCUGCCCCUUUUCUAACUGAACCUGAGGACUAUCUGUCUGAUGUCCUAACCACCCCCCGCCCCUUGACAAUCCCCCGGCUCUGGAUGUAUUCCCCUUUUUUUGACACUCUAAUCUGUUCUUUUUUUUAAAAAAGAGGAAGAAUUGUGGAAGAAAUUUGACCAGAUUUGGCAGAAAUCUUUUUGGAAGCCAUCUUGUCACAAGUUUUGCAGUAAAAUGUAGACUGCUAACAAAGUUUUGUUAGAAACUUAGCUGAGGUAUUUGUUUUGAUAACAUGACCUUGCAGCUGCAGACUGUCUCAGUUCCUCUGGCCCUUUAGACACAGUUCUGCUUCAUCGAUGAUGUAUUUUCAAUAUGCUUCUUACCUGCCUGUAUAGUCAAACCUGCAGUAUAAGAUAACAUUCAGUUUUGUAGACAUUAAUAAAUGUAUGUUUGGACAAUGUAUGCAGACCUUAUGACUGCCCCUAAGUUGCAUAGUUAGUGGGCUUAUAAUAUACUGUUUAACUUGUAACACUCUAUACCUCAUUGGAAUUGUGUUGGACUUCUCCAAACGAAGAUGUAAUUCCCCAUGGCCAUGAUUAAAGCUAGUUAAUUGCUCAAGGUCUCCUCUCCUGGCUAUUUUGUUUUAAACGAUUCGGCACAAGAUUUACUUUUCCCCAACACAUAGUGAUAAGAUUCAUUCCACAGAGACCAAUAGAAAUGAUUGAUGGAUAUUAUUAAAAACAAUUCCAUUUUUUCCACUUCAAAGAAGCCGGUUUACUUUGACACUUGUUUCCAGUAAGAAUUAUCCCUGUUUGUGAUCGAUGAAAUAACUCUGCUAAACCAAUUAUAUUUUAUUAAUCUUUUUGAGAUUUAGUUGAAUAAAUGGAUACAAUUUCAUAAUUUUUCCUGUUAACCAAAAGGGUUUUUACAAGUCUGCAUUUUAGAUUGUCUUUUGAUGUUGAAAUAUCUUGUUUGAUUAUUCCUCUGUUUCCCAUUCCUCUUCCCUAAUAACGUAGGAUAAGCUGCUGCAAAGUUUGUUGCUGCUUGUUAUGUUGUGCACUUUGUUCAAAGUGGAAUUGUGUAUGUGUCAAUUAAAAGGGACAUUGGGAUUUAUCCUAACAUCUGGUUAUAAAA
Non-coding RNA from Chiloscyllium plagiosum (whitespotted bambooshark), 2951 nucleotides. The record is from RefSeq and is a predicted model, not a curated record. NCBI's taxonomy places the organism in Eukaryota, Metazoa, Chordata, Chondrichthyes, Orectolobiformes, Hemiscylliidae.